Molecule: ribosomal RNA, 253 nt
Filed under: uncultured bacterium
Lineage: Bacteria
Description: partial 16S ribosomal RNA
Rfam family: Bacterial small subunit ribosomal RNA
Source: RNAcentral
UACGUAGGGUGCGAGCGUUAAUCGGAAUUACUGGGCGUAAAGCGUUCGCAGGCGGUUUUGUACGCCGGAUGUGAAAUCCCCGGGCUCAACCUGGGAAUUGCUUUUGAAACUGCCGAGCUAGAGUGCGGAAGGGGCAACUGGAAUUCCCAGUGUAGCGGUGAAAUGCGUAGAUAUUGGGAAGAACACCUGAGGCGAAGGCGGGUUGCUGGGCCGACACUGACGCUGAUGCGCGAAAGCCAGGGGAGCGAACGGG